RNAcentral lists this microRNA precursor (124 nucleotides) under Hordeum vulgare. Its description in RNAcentral is "microRNA MIR1122". It matches the Rfam family "MIR1120/MIR1122 microRNA precursor family". Lineage: Eukaryota; Viridiplantae; Streptophyta; Magnoliopsida; Poales; Poaceae. The record is from RNAcentral.
UAAAUACUCCUUUCAUCCGAAAAUAUUUUUCAUAUAACGGAUGUAUCUAGAUGUAUUUUAGUUCUGAAUACAUCUAUUUUUAUACAUUUGUGCAACAAAUAAUUUCGGACGGCGGAAGUAUAAG